CCGUUCCCACAGCAGUUGCCACAUGAGCAGCCCUUGGUGUGGGUGGUUCUCCAAAAGGAGUAAUCCUAGACCAUUUAUUUGUUAGCACAUCAUAACAGUGAACAUCAGCAGUGGCACCAGCUAGUCUAAUGCNNNNNNNAUGCCGGCAUUUCCAGCUGAGGAGGGAGCCCCUGAGGCUGCAGAAUUGCCCUCAAGAGCAG
This 200-nucleotide unclassified non-coding RNA is filed under the name Hevea brasiliensis (rubber tree). Lineage: Eukaryota; Viridiplantae; Streptophyta; Magnoliopsida; Malpighiales; Euphorbiaceae. The record is from RNAcentral.